RNAcentral lists this transfer RNA (105 nucleotides) under Bradyrhizobium sp. I71. RNAcentral's name for it is "tRNA-OTHER". It matches the Rfam family "tRNA". From Rfam's summary of the family: Transfer RNA (tRNA) molecules are approximately 80 nucleotides in length. Their secondary structure includes four short double-helical elements and three loops (D, anti-codon, and T loops). The record is from RNAcentral. Lineage: Bacteria; Pseudomonadati; Pseudomonadota; Alphaproteobacteria; Hyphomicrobiales; Nitrobacteraceae.
CGCGGUUUAGCUCAAAGGAUAGAGCGCCUGUUUUCGAUCUAGGGGUCUUCGCAACACCAACCUAGAGACAGGGAGAUACGGGUUCAAGUCCCGUAGCCGCGCCCA